AACGAACGCUGGCGGCAGGCCUAACACAUGCAAGUCGAGCGAGGACUUCGGGUCUAGCGGCGGACGGGUGAGUAACGCGUGGGAAUGUGCCCUUCUCUACGGAAUAGCCCUGGGAAACUGGGAGUAAUACCGUAUACGCCCUCUUGGGGAAAGAUUUAUCGGAGAAGGAUCAGCCCGCGUUGGAUUAGGUAGUGGGUGGGGUAAUGGCCUACCAAGCCGACGAUCCAUAGCUGGUUUGAGAGGAUGCUCAGCCACACUGGGACUGAGACACGGCCCAGAAUCCUACGGGAGGCAGCAGUGGGGAAUCUUAGAAAAUGGGGGCAACCCUGAUCGAGCCAUGACGGGUGAGUGAUGAAGGCCGUAGGGUUGUAAAGCUCGUUAAGCUGGGAAGAUAAUGACGGUACCAGCAGAAGAAGCCCCGGCUAACUCCGUG
This 433-nucleotide ribosomal RNA is filed under the name uncultured bacterium. RNAcentral describes it as "partial 16S ribosomal RNA". It matches the Rfam family "Bacterial small subunit ribosomal RNA", at positions 29 to 507 of the family's 1533-position model. The record is from RNAcentral.